Molecule: non-coding RNA, 468 nt
Organism: Pelodiscus sinensis (Chinese soft-shelled turtle)
Lineage: Eukaryota; Metazoa; Chordata; Testudines; Trionychidae
Source: RefSeq, a predicted model, not a curated record
GUCCUCAGGCAAGGAACAGAUGAAAAUUAUUGCAUCAAAUUUGAUUGCAACUCAGAUGAUAUGCCAGUAAGAAGUGGCUAGAAGAGGAAAUCCCUGUUUAUGUGACUCACUGUUUUUGUGCAAAUAUUAACUUUGGCUGGUGAUGUCUGACACCUUAUUUGCUCAAAUCCGACAGUCUGGAUACACAAGGAGAUUAAAAUGAGUCACCACCUCCCUACCUCCCCCCACUUCUUCCAAACCUCCCUCCCUUCCUCCACGCUGGGGCGUGAUUCUGUUUACGGUGUGAAAUAUAAGAAAAGAAAUAAAGGGAACCUAGGGCAGUAUGUUGAAUUAAAAAGUUCCCUGAUGAGAAAACUACGCACAAGAAAAAAAUCACUCCCAAAGGAAAGUCUAAAUAAAAGCCCUGCUAACUUAUAUUUAUUUAAAUUCACUGUGUAGAAGCCAGUGGUGACCGGCGGGUUUAAUGGG